This 252-nucleotide ribosomal RNA is filed under the name uncultured bacterium. RNAcentral describes it as "partial 16S ribosomal RNA". It matches the Rfam family "Bacterial small subunit ribosomal RNA", at positions 524 to 776 of the family's 1533-position model. The record is from RNAcentral.
UACGAAGGGGGCGAGCGUUGUUCGGAUUUACUGGGCGUAAAGGGUGCGUAGGUGGCGGGGUAAGUCUGGUGUGAAAGCUCCGAGCUCAACUCGGAAAAGCAUUGGAAACUAUCCCGCUGGAGGGUCGGAGGGGAGACUGGAAUUCUCGGUGUAGCAGUGAAAUGCGUAGAUAUCGAGAGGAACACCAGUGGCGAAGGCGAGUCUCUGGGCCGAUACUGACGCUGAGGAGCGAAAGCGUGGGGAGCGAACAGG